UUUCUUUUUGUUGUCUAAAACACAAAAAUCGCGAAACAGUCAGCUCACAAAGUUGCAGGUGAAGGUGCUGCCCACCCAUGAUACCAGCAAGGUGCGUGCAAGUGGAUCCGGCCUUAACACCACUGGAGCGCCCACCUCUCUGCCAGUGAAGGUCACCAUUGAUGCCAAAGAUGCAGGACCCAGAGGGGAAGCCCAAGAAGCAGAUAUCUGUGACAGCCAUGAUGGGACCUACCUGGUGUUUUAUGUGC
Maylandia zebra (zebra mbuna) is the source of this 248-nucleotide non-coding RNA. The record is from RefSeq and is a predicted model, not a curated record. Lineage: Eukaryota; Metazoa; Chordata; Actinopteri; Cichliformes; Cichlidae.